Molecule: unclassified non-coding RNA, 352 nt
Filed under: soil metagenome
Description: partial contains 5.8S ribosomal RNA, internal transcribed spacer 2, and large subunit ribosomal RNA
Rfam family: 5.8S ribosomal RNA (bases 1-120)
Source: RNAcentral
GAUGAAGAACGCAGCGAAAUGCGAUAAGUAAUGUGAAUUGCAGAAUUCAGUGAAUCAUCGAAUCUUUGAACGCACAUUGCGCCCGCCAGUAUUCUGGCGGGCAUGCCUGUUCGAGCGCCAUUACAACCCUCAGGCCCCCGGGCCUGGCGUUGGGGAUCGGCGGAGCCCCCCGUGGGCACACGCCGUCCCCCAAAUACAGUGGCGGUCCCGCCGCAGCUUCCAUCGCGUAGUAGCUAACACCUCGCGACUGGAGAGCGGCGCGGCCACGCCGUAAAACACCCAACUCUUCUGAAGUUGACCUCGAAUCAGGUAGGAAUACCCGCUGAACUUAAGCAUAUCAAUAAGCGGAGGA